Molecule: unclassified non-coding RNA, 139 nt
Filed under: Ballistosporomyces taupoensis
Lineage: Eukaryota; Fungi; Basidiomycota; Agaricostilbomycetes; Agaricostilbales; Chionosphaeraceae
Description: ITS 1
Source: RNAcentral
GUGAAACACCGGAUUCCUCUGCAAAGAGAAGGUCCGACCCACUAUCACACACACUUGUGCACUUGUCAUUUUUAUACAAAUCCAUUUUGUACACACUUUUGCAUUUUGAAGGUUGAUUUUAUAAACAUAAACGAAAGAA